GGGCGGUUAGCUCAGCUGGUUAGAGCGUCGCGUUCACAUCGCGAAGGUCGCUGGUUCGAGUCCAGCACCGCCCA
RNAcentral lists this transfer RNA (74 nucleotides) under Chloroflexota bacterium. RNAcentral describes it as "Chloroflexi bacterium tRNA-Val". It matches the Rfam family "tRNA". Rfam says of the family: Transfer RNA (tRNA) molecules are approximately 80 nucleotides in length. Lineage: Bacteria; Bacillati; Chloroflexota. The record is from RNAcentral.